GGGGAAUAUUGGGCAAUGGGCGCAAGCCUGACCCAGCAACGCCGCGUGAAGGAUGAAGGUUUUCGGAUUGUAAACUUCUGUCCUCAGGGACGAAAUCAAUGACGGUACCUGAGGAGGAAGCCCCGGCUAACUACGUGCCAGCAGCCGCGGUAAUACGUAGGGGGCGAGCGUUGUCCGGAAUUACUGGGCGUAAAGGGAGCGCAGGCGGUUUAUUAAGUCAGAUGUGAAAUACCCGGGCUUAACCUGGGGGGUGCAUCUGAUACUGGUGAACUUGAGUGCGGGAGAGGAAAGUGGAAUUCCUAGUGUAGCGGUGAAAUGCGUAGAUAUUAGGAGGAACACCAGUGGCGAAGGCGACUUUCUGGACCGUAACUGACGCUGAGGCUCGAAAGCGUGGGGAGCAAAC
This 403-nucleotide ribosomal RNA is filed under the name uncultured bacterium. Its description in RNAcentral is "bacterial SSU rRNA". It matches the Rfam family "Bacterial small subunit ribosomal RNA", at positions 356 to 773 of the family's 1533-position model. The record is from RNAcentral.